CAUACUCGUGGUCAAGAAAGACUUCCUGAUCAGGCCUCGAAGACGGGACCCGAGACAAGCAAUUAGGAACAUCCUCCUCUCACAGCAUCCUGGGAGCUGAGCUCAUGCGUGUCCUUGAGUGCAGGAGAUGAGGAAGCUGAGGCUCUGAACCUCGAUGCAGAACUGUCUCUCUAGAAGACUCUCAAACACCUGGAGUCAUCCUUGCUACCUGCAUACUCCGUAUGAAUGUGGCAAAGUCGCAUCUGGUGAGGCACAGAGAAACACCCGAGUGUGAGUCUUCCAGAAUGACGAUGGAUUUCUUCAACACUGAGACACCCUGAGGCUACGUUAAGCUUCUCAAAACAACAGCAAUAAUAGUAAAAUCGACCUUCCCAUCAGAUCAGCUGAGCCUUUCUCACAAUUGUGCUGUCGUCGAGGCUCUUCCUGCCCAAACCCUUCCCUCCCCGUCUCCUUUCGGACAGACCAGACCUUCGUUUGGGUACAAUCACCCUCCUGUCCCCUCCUGCUCCUUCCUCGGAAUCCUUCAUGGACACUGCGCUGGACAGAUGGCUUGCACCUCGAACCCCGUAGCUGGGCUACUUUUCCGAGGAUCCUAACACAGAGGCCAUCAGAUCCCUGGCUUCCGCUGCGGUGUCAGACCCUGAUGGCCGCGUUCCAGGAUGAGCUCCUGCUGCUGGUCUAGAGCUGGCGAUGGCCC
Long non-coding RNA from Suricata suricatta (meerkat), 697 nucleotides. RefSeq lists it as uncharacterized. The transcript is spliced from 3 exons. Lineage: Eukaryota; Metazoa; Chordata; Mammalia; Carnivora; Herpestidae. The record is from RefSeq and is a predicted model, not a curated record.